AUGGUCAGGGAUGGAUCCAGCAUUAAUAUCUGGUGUGAUCCUUGGAUAGCUAGUGACGGUACAAGACGUCGUUUGACCACAAGAGGGAAUUGUAUUCCCACAAAAAUUUCAGAGCUCAUCAAUCCGACCACCAUGACAUGGGACGAGGAUCUGGUUCGGGAUGUGUUUCAGGUAGUGGAUUCAAGGAUCAUUCUGGUUACCCCCAUUACAGACGAGUUUGAAGACUUUCCGUCGUGGCACUAUGAUAGUAAGGGUCAGUUUUCAGUCAAAUCUGCAUAUCAACUUUAUGUGCAAGGGUGCGGUAGUGUACUGGAAGCGACUAGUUCUCAACCGAUGGAGGAGGAGGUCGAGUGGAAGAAAAUAUGGGCUCAUAAUAGUCUUCCUGUCAAGCUAAACCUUAAACGACGAGGUAUAGAGUGUGACACUUUAUGCAUUUGCUGUAGAAGUUUGGAUGAGGACGGAUGCCAUCUUUUUCUUACAUGUAAGGAGGUUAAGAAGAUUUGGCGCGUGGUAGAUAUGGAGGGAGUCCGACAAAAACUAUGUUCUUGCAGGAAUGCCAAGGAGAUAGUGCAGGAAAUCUUAAGCUAA
RNAcentral lists this ribosomal RNA (588 nucleotides) under Triticum aestivum (bread wheat). Its description in RNAcentral is "partial small subunit ribosomal RNA". Lineage: Eukaryota; Viridiplantae; Streptophyta; Magnoliopsida; Poales; Poaceae. The record is from RNAcentral.